AGCAGCCGCGGUAAUUCCAGCUCCAAUAGCGUAUAUUAAAGUUGUUGCAGUUAAAAAGCUCGUAGUUGAAUUUCGGGAUCAAUACGUCGGUCGUACCUCGGUACGUACUAACGUUAUUGAUUUCUCCCUUCUGACGAACCGUGAUGUCAUUAAUUUGGUGUUACGGGGAGUUAGGACUGUUACUUUGAAAAAAUUAGAGUGUUUAAAGCAAGCAAUCGCUCGAAUACAUUAGCAUGGAAUAAUGAAAUAGGACGUUCGAGCCUAUUUUGUUGGUUUUUAGGAUCGACGUAAUGAUUAAUAGGGAUAGUUGGGGGCAUUAGUAUUCAAUUGUCAGAGGUGAAAUUCUUGGAUUUAUUGAAGACUAACUACUGCGAAAGCAUUUGCCAAGGAUGUUUUCAUUAAUCAAGAACGAAAGUUAGGGAUCGAAGACGAUCAGAUACCGUCGUAGUCUUAACCAUAAACUAUGCCGACUAGGGAUCGGAUGAUGUUAAUUUUUAUGUACUCAUUCGCGCCUUACGGG
RNAcentral lists this ribosomal RNA (520 nucleotides) under uncultured Glomus. RNAcentral's name for it is "SSU rRNA". It matches the Rfam family "Eukaryotic small subunit ribosomal RNA", at positions 569 to 1094 of the family's 1831-position model. Lineage: Eukaryota; Fungi; Glomeromycota; Glomeromycetes; Glomerales; Glomeraceae. The record is from RNAcentral.